UGGGGAAUUUUGGACAAUGGGCGAAAGCCUGAUCCAGCAAUGCCGCGUGUGUGAAGAAGGCCUUCGGGUUGUAAAGCACUUUUGUCCGGAAAGAAAUCCUUGGCUCUAAUACAGUCGGGGGAUGACGGUACCGGAAGAAUAAGCACCGGCUAACUACGUGCCAGCAGCCGCGGUAAUACGUAGGGUGCAAGCGUUAAUCGGAAUUACUGGGCGUAAAGCGUGCGCAGGCGGUUUGCUAAGACCGAUGUGAAAUCCCCGGGCUCAACCUGGGAACUGCAUUGGUGACUGGCAGGCUAGAGUAUGGCAGAGGGGGGUAGAAUUCCACGUGUAGCAGUGAAAUGCGUAGAGAUGUGGAGGAAUACCGAUGGCGAAGGCAGCCCCCUGGGCCAAUACUGACGCUCAUGCACGAAAGCGUGGGGAGCAAAACAGGAUUAGAUACCCUGGUAGUCCACGCCCUAAAACGAUGUCAACUAGUUGUUGGGGAUUCAUUUCCUUAGUAACGUAGCUAACGCGUGAAGUUGACCGCCUGGGGGGUACGGUCGCAAGAUUAAAACUCAAAUGAAUUGACGGGGU
This 573-nucleotide ribosomal RNA is filed under the name uncultured bacterium. RNAcentral describes it as "partial 16S ribosomal RNA". It matches the Rfam family "Bacterial small subunit ribosomal RNA", at positions 355 to 919 of the family's 1533-position model. The record is from RNAcentral.